GGCUGAGUAGCCAAGUGGUUGAAGGCGUCGGUCUGCAAAACCGACAUCGUGAGUACCCUUCGGGAAGCCGCUUCGCGUCUACGAUUCUCACCUCAGCCU
Molecule: transfer RNA, 99 nt
Filed under: Amazonocrinis nigriterrae CENA67
Lineage: Bacteria; Bacillati; Cyanobacteriota; Cyanophyceae; Nostocales; Nostocaceae
Rfam family: tRNA
About the family: Transfer RNA (tRNA) molecules are approximately 80 nucleotides in length. Their secondary structure includes four short double-helical elements and three loops (D, anti-codon, and T loops). Further hydrogen bonds mediate the characteristic L-shaped molecular structure. tRNAs have two regions of fundamental functional importance: the anti-codon, which is responsible for specific mRNA codon recognition, and the 3' end, to which the tRNAs corresponding amino acid is attached (by aminoacyl-tRNA synthetases). tRNAs cope with the degeneracy of the genetic code in two manners: having more than one tRNA (with a specific anti-codon) for a particular amino acid; and 'wobble' base-pairing, i.e. permitting non-standard base-pairing at the 3rd anti-codon position.
Source: Rfam by way of RNAcentral